RNAcentral lists this ribosomal RNA (665 nucleotides) under Herminiimonas sp. Its description in RNAcentral is "bacterial SSU rRNA". It matches the Rfam family "Bacterial small subunit ribosomal RNA", at positions 1 to 659 of the family's 1533-position model. Lineage: Bacteria; Pseudomonadati; Pseudomonadota; Betaproteobacteria; Burkholderiales; Oxalobacteraceae. The record is from RNAcentral.
AAACUGAAGAGUUUGAUCCUGGCUCAGAUUGAACGCUGGCGGCAUGCCUUACACAUGCAAGUCGAACGGCAGCACGGGAGCUUGCUCCUGGUGGCGAGUGGCGAACGGGUGAGUAAUAUAUCGGAACGUACCCUAGAGUGGGGGAUAACGCAGCGAAAGUUGCGCUAAUACCGCAUACGAUCUACGGAUGAAAGUGGGGGAUCGCAAGACCUCAUGCUCAUGGAGCGGCCGAUAUCUGAUUAGCUAGUUGGUAGGGUAAAAGCCUACCAAGGCUUCGAUCAGUAGCUGGUCUGAGAGGACGACCAGCCACACUGGAACUGAGACACGGUCCAGACUCCUACGGGAGGCAGCAGUGGGGAAUUUUGGACAAUGGGCGCAAGCCUGAUCCAGCAAUGCCGCGUGAGUGAAGAAGGCCUUCGGGUUGUAAAGCUCUUUUGUCAGGGAAGAAACGGUGAGGGCUAAUAUCCUCCACUAAUGACGGUACCUGAAGAAUAAGCACCGGCUAACUACGUGCCAGCAGCCGCGGUAAUACGUAGGGUGCAAGCGUUAAUCGGAAUUACUGGGCGUAAAGCGUGCGCAGGCGGUUUUGUAAGUCUGAUGUGAAAUCCCCGGGCUCAACCUGGGAAUUGCAUUGGAGACUGCAAGGCUAGAAUCUGGCAGAGGGG